This 27-nucleotide non-coding RNA is filed under the name Mus musculus (house mouse). Lineage: Eukaryota; Metazoa; Chordata; Mammalia; Rodentia; Muridae. The record is from RNAcentral.
UGCACAGGUCAGUGGAGUGGAUGGCCU